RNAcentral lists this transfer RNA (79 nucleotides) under Zea mays. It matches the Rfam family "tRNA". From Rfam's summary of the family: Transfer RNA (tRNA) molecules are approximately 80 nucleotides in length. Lineage: Eukaryota; Viridiplantae; Streptophyta; Magnoliopsida; Poales; Poaceae. The record is from Rfam by way of RNAcentral.
GUUAAGAUGGUCGAGUGUUUAAAGUAUCAGUUUUAGGUACCGAACUGAAAGGGCAUUGGUUCAAAUCCCAUUUUUGACA